This 290-nucleotide ribosomal RNA is filed under the name uncultured prokaryote. RNAcentral's name for it is "partial 16S ribosomal RNA". It matches the Rfam family "Bacterial small subunit ribosomal RNA", at positions 524 to 815 of the family's 1533-position model. The record is from RNAcentral.
UACGUAGGGGGCGAGCGUUGUCCGGAAUUACUGGGGCGUAAAGGGCGCGUAGGCGGCCUUAUAAGUUUCGUGUGAAAACCCUGUUUUUAAGGCAGGAGGUGCACGGAAAACUGUAAGGCUUGAGUGCAGGAGAGGGAAGCGGAAUUCCAAGUGUAGCGGUAAAAUGCGCAGAUAUUUGGAGGAACACCGGUGGCGAAGGCGGCUUCCUGGACUGUAACUGACGCUGAGGCACGAAAGCGUGGGGAGCAAACAGGAUUAGAUAUCCCGGUAGUCCCUGAGCGGGCUGGCAA